UCCGAAUUGGUGUAGUGGCCAACAUUUGACGCUCUCAAAACAUCCUGUUCCUACCCUCUCUUCAGUGAGAGAUGGAUGGAUGAUUGUGCCGUCAAGCCCGGGGUUCGAUUCCCCGAUUCGGAG
Molecule: non-coding RNA, 123 nt
Organism: Xylaria digitata
Lineage: Eukaryota; Fungi; Ascomycota; Sordariomycetes; Xylariales; Xylariaceae
Source: the annotation of a GenBank genome assembly